UUUCCGUAGGUGAACCUGCGGAAGGAUCAUUAACGAGUUGGGGUCUUCUAGGCCCGACCUCCCAACCCUAUGUUUAUUGAACCUCUGUUGCUUCGGCGGGCCCGUCUCACGGCCGCCGAGGGGAGUCGCCGCGAGGCACCCUCUGGCCAGCGUCCGCCGAUGGCCAACCUCAAAACUCUGAAUGAAUCGUGUCAUGAUGUCUAAGUCUAUGAUUAAAUUAAAGCAAAACUUUCAACAACGGAUCUCUUGGUUCUG
Molecule: unclassified non-coding RNA, 255 nt
Filed under: plant metagenome
Description: partial contains small subunit ribosomal RNA, internal transcribed spacer 1, and 5.8S ribosomal RNA
Source: RNAcentral